RNAcentral lists this ribosomal RNA (484 nucleotides) under uncultured bacterium. RNAcentral's name for it is "partial 16S ribosomal RNA". It matches the Rfam family "Bacterial small subunit ribosomal RNA", at positions 30 to 507 of the family's 1533-position model. The record is from RNAcentral.
AUUGAACGCUGGCGGCAGGCCUAACACAUGCAAGUCGAGCGGAUGAAGGGAGCUUGCUCCUGGAUUCAGCGGCGGACGGGUGAGUAAUGCCUAGGAAUCUGCCUGGUAGUGGGGGAUAACGUCCGGAAACGGGCGCUAAUACCGCAUACGUCCUGAGGGAGAAAGUGGGGGAUCUUCGGACCUCACGCUAUCAGAUGAGCCUAGGUCGGAUUAGCUAGUUGGUGGGGUAAAGGCCUACCAAGGCGACGAUCCGUAACUGGUCUGAGAGGAUGAUCAGUUACACUGGAACUGAGACACGGUCCAGACUCCUACGGGAGGCAGCGGUGGGGAAUAGUGGACUAUGGGCGAAAGCCAGAUCCGGACCUGCCGCGUAUGUGAAGAAGGUCUUCGGAUUGGAGAUGUAUUUUAGUUGGGAGGAAGGGCAGUAAGUUCAUACCGUGCUGUUUUGAAGGUACCAACAGAAUAAGCACCGGCUAACUUCGUG